Molecule: ribosomal RNA, 244 nt
Filed under: uncultured bacterium
Lineage: Bacteria
Description: partial 16S ribosomal RNA
Rfam family: Bacterial small subunit ribosomal RNA
Source: RNAcentral
UGCUAGCGUUGCUCGGAAUCACUGGGCGUAAAGGGUGCGUAGGCGGGUUUUUAAGGCAGGGGUGAAAUCCUGGAGCUCAACUCCAGAACUGCCUUUGAUACUGAAGAUCUUGAGUCCGGGAGAGGUGAGUGGAACUGCGAGUGUAGAGGUGAAAUUCGUAGAUAUUCGCAAGAACACCAGUGGCGAAGGCGGCUCACUGGCCCGGUACUGACGCUGAGGCACGAAAGCGUGGGGAGCAAACAGG